RNAcentral lists this transfer RNA (73 nucleotides) under Brassica rapa (field mustard). It matches the Rfam family "tRNA". Rfam says of the family: Transfer RNA (tRNA) molecules are approximately 80 nucleotides in length. Lineage: Eukaryota; Viridiplantae; Streptophyta; Magnoliopsida; Brassicales; Brassicaceae. The record is from Rfam by way of RNAcentral.
GGUUCCAUGGCCCAAUGGAUAAGGCGCUGGUCUACGAAACCAGAGAUUCUGAGUUCGAUACUCAGUGGAAUCG